AGGGAUGUAGUUCAAUGGUAGAACAUCGGUCUCCAAAACCGAGUGUUGGAAGUUCGAUUCUUUUCAUCCCUGCCA
RNAcentral lists this transfer RNA (75 nucleotides) under Entomoplasma freundtii. RNAcentral's name for it is "tRNA-Trp". It matches the Rfam family "tRNA". Rfam says of the family: Transfer RNA (tRNA) molecules are approximately 80 nucleotides in length. Their secondary structure includes four short double-helical elements and three loops (D, anti-codon, and T loops). Further hydrogen bonds mediate the characteristic L-shaped molecular structure. tRNAs have two regions of fundamental functional importance: the anti-codon, which is responsible for specific mRNA codon recognition, and the 3' end, to which the tRNAs corresponding amino acid is attached (by aminoacyl-tRNA synthetases). tRNAs cope with the degeneracy of the genetic code in two manners: having more than one tRNA (with a specific anti-codon) for a particular amino acid; and 'wobble' base-pairing, i.e. permitting non-standard base-pairing at the 3rd anti-codon position. The record is from RNAcentral. Lineage: Bacteria; Bacillati; Mycoplasmatota; Mollicutes; Entomoplasmatales; Entomoplasmataceae.